GGCGAACGGGUGAGUAACGCGUGAGGAACCUGCCUCAAAGAGGGGGGACAACAGUUGGAAACGACUGCUAAUACCGCAUAAGCCCACGGGUCGGCAUCGACCAGAGGGAAAAGGAGCAAUCCGCUUUGAGAUGGUCUCGCGUCCGAUUAGCUAGUUGGUGAGGUAAUGGCCCACCAAGGCGACGAUCGGUAGCCGGACUGAGAGGUUGAACGGCCACAUUGGGACUGAGACACGGCCCAGACUCCUACGGGAGGCAGCAUG
Molecule: ribosomal RNA, 261 nt
Filed under: uncultured bacterium
Lineage: Bacteria
Description: partial 16S ribosomal RNA
Rfam family: Bacterial small subunit ribosomal RNA
Source: RNAcentral